RNAcentral lists this ribosomal RNA (253 nucleotides) under uncultured bacterium. RNAcentral describes it as "partial 16S ribosomal RNA". It matches the Rfam family "Bacterial small subunit ribosomal RNA", at positions 524 to 776 of the family's 1533-position model. The record is from RNAcentral.
UACAGAGGUCCCGAGCGUUGUUCGGAUUCACUGGGCGUAAAGGGUGCGUAGGUGGUGAGGUAAGUCGGAUGUGAAAUCUCCGAGCUCAACUCGGAAAUGGCAUUGGAAACUACCUUGCUCGAGGGUUGGAGGGGGGACUGGAAUGCUUGGUGUAGCAGUGAAAUGCGUAGAUAUCAAGCGGAACACCAGUGGCGAAGGCGAGUCCCUGGACAACUCCUGAUACUGAGGCACGAAAGCUAGGGGAGCAAACAGG